RNAcentral lists this ribosomal RNA (467 nucleotides) under uncultured bacterium. RNAcentral describes it as "partial 16S ribosomal RNA". It matches the Rfam family "Bacterial small subunit ribosomal RNA", at positions 28 to 507 of the family's 1533-position model. The record is from RNAcentral.
GACGAACGCUGGCGGCGUGCUUAACACAUGCAAGUCGAACGGAAAGGCCCUGCUUUUGUGGGGUGCUCGAGUGGCGAACGGGUGAGUAACACGUGAGUAACCUGCCCUUGACUUUGGGAUAACUUCAGGAAACUGGGGCUAAUACCGGAUAGGAGCUCCUGCUGCAUGGUGGGGGUUGGAAAGUUUCGGCGGUUGGGGAUGGACUCGCGGCUUAUCAGCUUGUUGGUGGGGUAGUGGCUUACCAAGGCUUUGACGGGUAGCCGGCCUGAGAGGGUGACCGGCCAAUUUGGGACUGGGUUCGGCCCCGGACUCCUACGGGAGGAAGCGGUGGGGAUAAUGGACCAAUGGCCGAAGGCUGGAGCCGGAACGCCGGGUGGCGGAUGACGGCCUUCGGGUUGUAAACCGCUUUCGCCUGUGACGAAGCGUGAGUGACGGUAAUGGGUAAAGAAGCACCGGCUAACUACGUG